Molecule: ribosomal RNA, 417 nt
Filed under: uncultured bacterium
Lineage: Bacteria
Description: bacterial SSU rRNA
Rfam family: Bacterial small subunit ribosomal RNA
Source: RNAcentral
UGAGUAACGCGUAUGCAACCUACCUAUCAGAGGGGAAUAACCCGGCGAAAGUCGGACUAAUACCGCAUAAAAACAGGGGCACCGCAUGGUGAUAUUUGUUAAAGAAAUUCGCUGAUAGAUGGGCAUGCGUUCCAUUAGGUAGUUGGUGAGGUAACGGCUCACCAAGCCGACGAUGGAUAGGGGAACUGAGAGGUUGGUCCCCCACACUGGUACUGAGACACGGACCAGACUCCUACGGGAGGCAGCAGUGAGGAAUAUUGGUCAAUGGGCGGGAGCCUGAACCAGCCAAGUCGCGUGGAAAAGGAAGAAGGAUCUAUGGUUCGUAAACUUCUUUUGCAGGGGAAUAAAGUGCAGGACGUGUCCUGUUUUGUAUGUACCCUGAGAAUAAGGAUCGGCUAACUCCGUGCCAGCAGCCGC